AUUGAACGCCGGCGGCAGGCCUAACACAUGCAAGUCGAGCGGAUGAAGGGAGCUUGCUCCUGGAUUCAGCUGCGGACGGGUGAGUAAUGCCUAGGAAUCUGCCUGGUAGUGGGGGAUAACGUCCGGAAACGGGCGCUAAUACCGCAUACGUCCUGAGGUAGAAAGUGGGGGAUCUUCGGACCUCACGCUAUUAGAUGAGCCUAGGUCGGAUUAGCUAGUUGGUGGGGUAAAGGCCUACCAAGGCGACGAUCCGUAACUGGUCUGAGAGGAUGAUCAGUCACACUGGAACUGAGACACGGUCCAGACUCCUACGGGAGGCAGCAGUGGGGAAUAUUGGACAAUGGGCGAAAGCCUGAUCCAGCCAUGCCGCGUGUGUGAAGAAGGUCUUCGGAUUGUAAAGCACUUUAAGUUGGGAGGAAGGGCAGUAAGUUAAUACCUUGCUGUUUUGACGUUACCAACAGAAUAAGCACCGGCUAACUUCGUG
RNAcentral lists this ribosomal RNA (484 nucleotides) under uncultured bacterium. RNAcentral describes it as "partial 16S ribosomal RNA". It matches the Rfam family "Bacterial small subunit ribosomal RNA", at positions 30 to 507 of the family's 1533-position model. The record is from RNAcentral.